CUAGUCGAACGAACAGAACUAUGUCUGUAAGUGGCAUACUGCUCAGUAACACGUAGCUAACCUACCCUUAGGACGUCGAUAACCCCGAGAAAUUGGGGCUAAUAGGCGAUAGAUGUAUUGUCCUGGAAUGGUAAUACGUCCAAAGGUAUCCCAUACAUGUUUGGUAUACGCCUAAGGAUGGGGCUGCGGCCGAUCAGGCUGUUGGUGAGGUAAUGGCUCACCAAACCUUUGACCGGUAUGGGCCAUGAGAGUGGUAGCCCAGAGAUGGACACUGAGACAAGGGUCCAGGCCCUACGGGGCGCAGCAGGCGCGAAACCUCCUCAAUGCACUAACGUGCGAAGGGGUUACCUCGAGUGCCACCUGAAGAAGGUGGCUUUUCCUUGGUCUAAAAAGCCUAGGGAAUAAGAGGGGGGCAAGACUGGUGUCAGCCGCCGCGGUAACACCAGCCCCUCGAGUGGUGGGGAUGAUUAUUUGGCCUAAAGCGUCCGUAGCCGGCCGGGUAAGUUUCCCGUUAAAUCCAGCGUCUCAAGCGUUGGACUGCGGGAAAUACUGCCUGGCUAGAGAGUGGGAGAGGUCAGCGGUAUUCUGGGGGUAGGGGCGAAAUCCUUUGAUCCCCGGAGGACCACCAGUGGCGAAGGCUGCUGACUAGAACACGUCUGACGGUCAGGGACGAAAGCUGGGGUAGCGAACCGGAUUAGAUACCCGGGUAGUCCCAGCCGUAAACGAUGCAUGCUAGGUGUUGGGUUGGCCACGAGCCACCCCAGUGCCGCAGGGAAGCCGUUAAGCAUGCCGCCUGGGAAGUACGAUCGCAAGGUUGAAACUUAAAGGAAUUGGCGGGGGAGCACCACCAGGCGUGAAGCCUGCGGUU
Molecule: ribosomal RNA, 868 nt
Filed under: uncultured archaeon
Lineage: Archaea
Description: bacterial SSU rRNA
Rfam family: Archaeal small subunit ribosomal RNA
Source: RNAcentral